RNAcentral lists this ribosomal RNA (468 nucleotides) under uncultured bacterium. RNAcentral describes it as "partial 16S ribosomal RNA". It matches the Rfam family "Bacterial small subunit ribosomal RNA", at positions 28 to 507 of the family's 1533-position model. The record is from RNAcentral.
GACGAACGCUGGCGGCGUGCUUAACACAUGCAAGUCGAACGGAAAGGCCCUGCUUGUGUGGGGUGCUCGAGUGGCGAACGGGUGCGUAACAGGUGAGUAACCUGCCCUUGACUUUGGGAUAACUUCAGGAAACUGGGGCUAAUACCGGAUAGGAGCCCCCGCUGCAUGGAGGGGGUUGGAAAGUUUCGGCGGGUGGGGAUGGACUGGCGGCUUAUCAGCUUGUUGGUGGGGUAGUGGCUUACCAAGGCUUUGACGGGUAGCCGGCCUGAGAGGGUGACCGGGCACAUUGGGACUGAGGUACGGCCCAGACUCCUACGGGAGACAGCAGUGGGGAAUAUUGCACAAUGGGCGGAAGCCUGAUGCAGCAACGCCGCGUGCGGGAUGACGGCCUGCGGGUUGUAAACCGCUUUCGCCUGUGACGAAGCGUGAGUGACGGUAAUGGGUAAAGAAGCACCGGCUAACUACGUG